Molecule: long non-coding RNA, 1212 nt
Organism: Helianthus annuus (common sunflower)
Lineage: Eukaryota; Viridiplantae; Streptophyta; Magnoliopsida; Asterales; Asteraceae
Exons: 5
Source: RefSeq, a predicted model, not a curated record
CACCACCACCAAACCAUAACCCUCCUUUUUUUUGUUUGUUGAUUUCUGAUUUGUCGGGAUUGGAGAUGUAAUUGCCACACUUCCUUGUUAUGCAUCAAGAACAUGGUCAUUGAUCAGUUCCCUUCAUAAUCAUUCUACGACACCCUUUCAAAGCCAUCCACACAUUCCUUUAUCUCCCUCACCUUCCUCCAUUGUUCGUUCACCGAGCACGGCGCUGCGAAGGUGACGGAACAAAGAUGCUACGGCCAUCGCAACGCGUUUCGUUUCGGUAUAUAUCUCCUUAUUCCGUAUGUUUUCUGUUGGCAUAUUUUCGUUCGAUUUAAUUGUUUAACCUGUUGGUGUAAUACAUUCAUAACAAUCUGCGUUUUUUUUGUUGUUCACUCAAUAAACGUUUCAACGGAGACACCUAAAACAUCAAGGACAAAGCCGACACCGGAACUCGUAUCGUCGCCGGAAAUCUGCCGGAGCGAACCGAGCUUGCCGGAUGGAGAUUCACAAUGGGAACCGUCACACGACGUCGAGCUUUUCAGAAUUCCUAGGGUUUUGAACAAAUUAACCUCUCCCCAAAAUUCACAGUCACGUUUCACAUCUCCCAGCAGGGCUUAGCAAUUCUCAGCUUUUUGAUUUUGAAGAACUGAUCCUGCUUUCUUGAUUGCCAUAAAUACAGGUUUUGGGUUUAGCGGGUUGGCUUCUUCGAGUUUUCAGAGGUGGAAAUGUAACCCGAUAACCGUACCAUUCUAGAUUCGGGUUCAAUCAUCUUUUUUUGAUUUUCUGGCCUACUCCAUUCCGCCUGUAAGAUGUUUCGGGUCGUCGUUCUUCCUCAUUCAAUUUGGUACACUUCAAGAGCUUGGACCUAAAUGAUCUAGUUGGUGGUACAGAGAUUGGACCAGAAUGGUGUAAGGUAAACGUUCAAGUACAAAUAAAAAAAGAUGAAAACUUGGUAAGACCAUAUGGUUUAUUUUCUACAAUUCAAGAUUGUAUUGGUGCAUCCAUCGCAUGGCCCUAUCCAUUCAUCUCGGUAGUCUAUGAGGAUUGAGGACACAUGAUGACUAAAGAUUUUAUGCUUCUUAUUUCUUUAAUUGCUUUUAAUUUCUUUGUUAAAUGUUAAGACUUUAUGUUAGAUAAUGUUAUAACUUAUUUAUGGUUAGUGUUUUUGUUAAGAACAUGCUUAUUUGAAGUAUAAUGAUUCUUUCAUUAGUUGAUGUUAUACAA